GAUGAACGCUGGCGGCGUGCCUAACACAUGCAAGUCGAGCGAUUCUCUCCGGAGAAUAGCGGCGGACGCGUGAGUAACGCGUGGGUAACCUGCCCUGUACACACGGAUAACAUACCGGAAGGUAUGCUAAUACGGGAUAGUAUAAGAAAUUCGCAUGUUUUUCUUAUCAAAGCUCCGGCGGUACAGGAUGGACCCGCGUCUGAUUAGCUAGUUGGUGAGGUAACGGCUCACCAAGGCGACGAUCAGUAGCCGACCUGAGAGGGUGAUCGGCCACAUUGGAACUGAGACACGGCCCAAAAUCCUACGGGAGGCAGCAGUGGGGAAUAUUGCACAAUGGGCGAAAGCCUGAUGCAGCAACGCCGCGUGAGCGAUGAAGGCCUUCGGGUCGUAAAGCCCUGUCCUCAAGGAAGAUAAUGACGGUACUUGAGGAGGAAGCCCCGGCUAACUACGUGCCAGCAGCCGCCGCAG
RNAcentral lists this ribosomal RNA (468 nucleotides) under uncultured bacterium. RNAcentral's name for it is "partial 16S ribosomal RNA". It matches the Rfam family "Bacterial small subunit ribosomal RNA", at positions 28 to 523 of the family's 1533-position model. The record is from RNAcentral.